Molecule: long non-coding RNA, 458 nt
Organism: Mustela erminea (ermine)
Lineage: Eukaryota; Metazoa; Chordata; Mammalia; Carnivora; Mustelidae
Exons: 3
Source: RefSeq, a predicted model, not a curated record
GAAGCUACAUUUUGUACAAAAGACACUCAGGAAAUUUGUUAAGCGAAGGAAUGAAGUAUACGCCUGUCCCUCCGGUUGACUUAGCAGAAUAACCCCUUGGAUGCACUGUCAGUUGGAUGCCUGUAUUUAACCUUGAGUAGCCUGGUCUCAGCAUCUGCAAAUCCAGGUUGCUUCUCCAUGAUCAUCCUGACUCCUUCUCCCAUGUCUCCCUCAGCCUCCUUCUCAUCCUGGGCAUAUUAUAUUAUCCAGGGAAGGAAAGGAAGAUGAAGUCACAUGUUAAAAGGGAAAAAACUAAAUACAGCAUACUAGAAUUUGAACCCAUGUGGGUCCAAUUUUAAAGUUCAUUUCUUCAUGCUCUGUGCUAUACUCCAUUAGAUAAUGUCACUAAUGAUAAUGGAAAGGGUAACCAUCACAUGAUUUUGUCAGAAGAAUUAUGAAAUAUCUGGCAAGGAUGCUCU